UAGAGAUUAGUUUAUUAAGAACGUUAGUUUGUGGGGCUAAAAGAAACUUAGCUUAUCUUUAA
Molecule: transfer RNA, 62 nt
Filed under: Perumytilus purpuratus
Lineage: Eukaryota; Metazoa; Mollusca; Bivalvia; Mytilida; Mytilidae
Description: tRNA-His
Source: RNAcentral